This 439-nucleotide ribosomal RNA is filed under the name uncultured bacterium. RNAcentral's name for it is "partial 16S ribosomal RNA". It matches the Rfam family "Bacterial small subunit ribosomal RNA", at positions 339 to 795 of the family's 1533-position model. The record is from RNAcentral.
CUACGGGGGGCACCAGUGGGGAAUAUUGCACAAUGGGGGAAACCCUGAUGCAGCAACGCCGCGUGGAGGAUGACGCAUUUCGGUGUGUAAACUCCUUUUAUAUAGGAAGAUAAUGACGGUACUAUAUGAAUAAGCACCGGCUAACUCCGUGCCAGCAGCCGCGGUAAUACGGAGGGUGCAAGCGUUACUCGGAAUCACUGGGCGUAAAGCGCACGCAGGCGGUCUGAUAAGUUGGAUGUGAAAGCCUACGGCUCAACCGUAGAACUGCAUCCAAAACUGUCAGACUAGAGUCUGGGAGGGGAAGAUGGAAUUAGUUGUGUAGGGGUAAAAUCCGUAGAGAUAACUAGGAAUACCAAAAGCGAAGGCGAUCUUCUGGAACAGUACUGACGCUGAGGCGCGAAAGCGUGGGGAGCAAACAGGAUUAGAUACCCCAGUAGUC